UACAGAGGGGGCAAGCGUUGUUCGGAAUUACUGGGCGUAAAGGGCGCGUAGGCGGCCUUCUAAGUCGAACGUGAAAUCCCCGGGCUCAACCCGGGAACUGCGUCCGAUACUGGAAGGCUUGAAUCUGGGAGAGGGAUGCGGAAUUCCAGGUGUAGCGGUGAAAUGCGUAGAUAUCUGGAGGAACACCGGUGGCGAAGGCGGCAUCCUGGACCGGCAUUGACGCUGAGGCGCGAAAGCCAGGGGAGCAAACGGG
Molecule: ribosomal RNA, 253 nt
Filed under: uncultured bacterium
Lineage: Bacteria
Description: partial 16S ribosomal RNA
Rfam family: Bacterial small subunit ribosomal RNA
Source: RNAcentral